Non-coding RNA from Rattus norvegicus (Norway rat), 3210 nucleotides. The record is from RefSeq and is a predicted model, not a curated record. Lineage: Eukaryota; Metazoa; Chordata; Mammalia; Rodentia; Muridae.
GGAAGCUGUCACACAGCAAGCAUCGUGUAAUGUCUCUCAGAAAAGGGAAAAAGCUGUCUCUAUAGACGGGAAAGUUUGACUGUGGAGUCUGUGCAGCUGCCCGUAGUUGACAGAGCUGGAACGAGCAUCUGUACAGUUAAAUUUCCAGGCUUCAAGAACAGCUUCUCAGCGUUCACAUUCUCUUUAUUGAUCCAACAAUAAACUCAAGUGACAUACACAAGUGUCUGGGGAAGAACACGCAGCUGUGUGUGCCUGACCUUACUUCACAUCUGCAAGUCAACACCUCCUCACCCUGGAUCGGGAGAGAGAUGGAUUGCUACUGCUACCGUAACCCGAAGAUGGAACCGUGAUCUGGAAUAGUGGAUUGUCAAAAGUCACUGGAGCUAAAUAACCACCACUGGGAUUGGGCAUGAGCAACCGGGAGCCGAGAGUAAGAAGUAAACAAGGAGCCUGGGGGUCGGAAGCUGCACAGUUAUAAUGGCGUUUGUGUGAAGCGCUGCAGGGUACUCCAGAGCCCGCAGGAGGCUGCAGGCUAGAUUAUGCCCCGCAAGUAGAAACAGGUCUAUUGUGACUAUAAAAAACCUUGUUUUAAACAUUCAAAGUCAGUUUUAUAAAGAAAGCAAGGGUAACUCAUUGUACUUAUGACGCUUAUCAAAGGCAGCCAGAAAAUGUUUUGAUACAAAUAAUAAUUUUAAGACUCAAAGAGUACAGGUUUCCAACAAUGCAGCCUGUCUGGGAUAUAUAGUCUGUCCGCAACUCAGUUUUUAUCACUGAAGCCCUAACAUUUCUCACCUGGAGGAAAAAUACUCACGUGUUAAUUCUUCAUAUUGCCCCUGGCUAAAAGAGAAGGGUUUGCUCACUCGUGUCUCCUGUCUGGGCAUGUUGAGGUACUUAUAUCAUAUGAGACAGACAUAUUAUUGGCAUUUCAUUUUAUUACCAUAAUUUUAGGGAUGAAGGAAUAUGACAGUUUGGCUUUUCGUGGCCCAUAUAUUUCUAAAUCAACAAGAGUAAAACUCUCUUCAUGAAACGAUUCUUUCCCUCUGUCUCGGAGAGCAGCUGGUAAACAAGCCACAUCUUUUUGAGGACAUAACCUCCAGGCUCAGACUGAGAGAGAUGCCUGCCUCUAACCAUAGAAGUCAAGGGUAGGAUUUCACAGGCACCGUAAUGCUCUUUUGGGGUGAUGUGUCAGUCAAGGAAAUGUGGAUGGAUGGGAGGCUCUAAGGGAGAAAGCACAGAGAUUAAUUUAAUGCAGGAAAUUCUGAUUCUUUUAAUCUUUCCCAACUAAAGGAGGUCUAAAGCAGAAAACAAGCAUGUGUCUUCAGUCACUGUCCACAAGCACGGUUACAACUUCCACUCAUAGUGUUAAAGGCAAAGGCUUUUUUCCCCAGCGCAUUACUCGCGGUUGAGACUCUCGUUGUGCGCGCCACGCUGGUGGAUGAGAUAGGGCUGAGCUACACUCGCGGUAUGUUUUGGGCCUUAUGAACUGUGUUGAGCCAUCUCAGCUGCAUAUACUUCACGGCUAUGUUUUUCAGAGCAUUUGAUGAUUCUAAUGAGCCCUUGAAUAUAUUUAGUGGCUCAUUAAAUGAUAUUAAAUGAGAUAGUCUGUUAAGGGAUAAGAGCUGUUAACUGCAACAUCUUAAUGAUCACUUUACACAAAUUGCUAACCUCCUAUAAUCACAUGGAAAUGAUUUCGCGAUUUCCAAAUUUUAAAAGUUUAAUUUUAAUUAGAUUGUCUGUAGCGAACUCGUGUCCGUAACGUGCUAGUAGUAAAGCUGUAAACUUGGGCGCAGAAAUGCUCACCAACUCCACAGUGAACGUCGUCAUUUAAUCCAUUCGUUCUGCCCCUUCAUUGGGUUGUGUUCUGUUUUCUGCAGGAUCAGGGCCAAGACCAUGCUCUACUGGGGAUUCAAGCACAGGUCGGGUACCAAUAGAGGAGCCAAGGAUAACCAGGUUGAUUGACCCUUUUUCACUCUGCCAUUCCAGGUGACUGGUAGUCAGUCAUUCAUUUCUUGCUUUGAAUAAAAAAGGCCCACUCAAUGGACAAUCUUGGCUUCACCAUUGCUUAUUCUAAGCUGAGCUUUCUACGACAAGGUUUUUGUAGAAGGCCAGAUCAUAUGAGCAAACCAAACAACAGCCUACAUGUAUGUUUCCAGUCUCACUAAUAUAUUAAAGUUCUGGAAUAACUUACUUUACUGCAUUUCCUAUUCAAGUACAGACUGUAAAUUACUGCCUGUUUUGUUUAUAUACUUUUUAAAAAAGAUUUACUUAUUUUAUAUAUGUGAUUAUGUUGUCACUGUCUUCAGACACACCAGAAGAUGGCAACGGAUCCCAAUCCAGACGGAUCUGAGCCACCAUGUUGUUGCUGAGAAUUGAACUCAGGACCUCUGGAAGAUCAGUGCUCUUAUCCACUGAGCCAUCUCUCCAGCCCCAUAGAUAUGUAUUCGGUGACGAUUUCCACACUUUGCUUCUAAUGUAGAAAAUUUAAAGGAGCAUAAAUAUCUCUAUUAUUUUGAGUAUCUCAAUUAUUCAAAGGUGAGAGCGGUUUUAUUUUAUUUAAUCCCACAUUGACAUUUACAUUGUAAUCUUAUCGAAUAUUGUUUAAUGUUUUAUUUUAAUAAUGUUAACUGUUAAAUAUUCUCAAAAAGAAAAUAUCCUAAAAUUUUAAUAACAGUGAAUAACACGGUGCUGGAUGCAUGCAGCUAUGGCGUAAGCUCGUGGGCCACAGGACUGCCUGGAGCUUUUUGCUGUCUCCACCGAAGAAUCCCAGUGUGAAGAAAGGGGAUUUUCUUAAAUAUUUCAUGCUUUAACUUCAUUAGCUGUAAAGUGGAGAUAACAGCUCGAUAGGGCUCUUAGAACAAAUGUGAGCACCUAGACAGAACAUCCUUAGAGAAAUGUUUGCCAUCUUGUAAAUGUUAUUUAAACAAAAUUAGAGUAUCAGUUUAGAGUAAUGCACAAUAUCCCAGGCCCAAACUGUCUUAAGGAAACAUUUCAGUUGCUUGUAGUUUUCUAUGACUCUGUUGUUUCCUUAUAAUACAUUCACAUAGAACAACACGUUAUCAACACGUUAUGUGAAUAUUUUAAUGGAUUUCGGAAUAUCUGGUCAAAUGACCUUCUAAGAACCAUCUAUUUGAUUAUGAUGUUCCAACUAUCUAUUUCUUAUCUAUCAUCUGUACAUCUUUACCUAUUUUUAAAAGUUUCAAGUUGUGUAUU